AAGACGAUACUUUCAGGGAUCAUUUCUGUAGUUUGCUACUAGAGAAGUUCCUCUAAACGUGUAGAGAAAAAAAUGUUAAACAGGAAUACAUGAAGAUCAUCAAAGAAUGGA
This is a non-coding RNA of Homo sapiens (human), 111 nucleotides long. The record is from Rfam. NCBI's taxonomy places the organism in Eukaryota, Metazoa, Chordata, Mammalia, Primates, Hominidae.